AAUAUUCACUAAGAUCUCAAAUCUUCCCUAAGAUCUCAUGUAUCAAAACAAAUCUUCAAAAAUUCUCUCUCUCUUCCUCACCCAUCACUCACGCCUAACUCUCUCUCUCUCCCUCAUCUCUCACUUUUCCUCCAUUGACAACCAUUGUUGAGACCUUCGGAGCUUCCUAAAAUCAUACCAAACACACAAAUCCACCCCUAAAUCUUACUUAAACACCUUCAAUCUCAUUGGAUUCAAGAAGAUCCUUGGAGUUUGAUUUCAAAGCUAGAAAGAGAAAGUUUGAUUUUGGGUGUAAGCUUGGGCCGAGCGAGACGAAGAAGUAUGUCGCCUGUUUUCUUUCCGAAACUAAGCGAGGGACUUCAGGUGGGCAAUAUUUUGAGUAUACGUAUAUCGUAUGAGCUUUCUAAAAUGAUUUGAUGAUGUUAUGACUUUAUCAAAUGCUUUGAGAUAAAUGAUGUUUGAGAACUGUUUGACUUGCCAAUUUUUUAUGUUGAGCUUGUGUGUUACCCUCUACUAAUUAGACGAAUUCGGUCCUGCCACAAGCGGGAUUUUGUGCACAGAGGUGACCGCGAGCCGUCUUCGGGUCGGCCGGUCACGGUACUUGAGAGGGAGGCCUACUUCUCAGUACCUUUGAUGAUGAUGAGUUGUAGAUGUGGUACAUACAUGACGAGUACUUUGAUAGCGCUAUCGUUUCUUUAUGAUGUUAGGUUUAUUCAAACUGCUUACACAGGUUCAUUUACGUUAAAUUUAUUCCUGUGUAUUGCUAAGAUAUGGCAAGUUUCAAACCUAUAGCUCUAAGAGCACCUUUCUUGUUUUUCGGCGUUUGCCCACUGAGUAUUAUGUACUCACGCCCUGCAUAUAUUUCUAAAUGUGCAGGCUAAGCAAGGAGCGAGAAUGGUCUGGUGCUGGUGCGGGAACGUUUCAAUCGAUGUAUUUAUAUUACCGUAUUGCCUUCAUGUUGAUAAAGUCUUGAUAAUUGAGAUACUUCAUCUUUUCUUUUGAAUUUUAGCAAUUCACUCGCGGUUAUAUGUCUUCAUACAUAUAAUCGAUUCGUCUUUUGCUGCGAUACUCUGCAUAUUAUGAUUCCUUAUGAAAAAUGAGCUAUACCCGUUUUAUUUU
This is a long non-coding RNA of Salvia miltiorrhiza (redroot sage), 1119 nucleotides long. RefSeq lists it as uncharacterized. The transcript has 2 exons. Lineage: Eukaryota; Viridiplantae; Streptophyta; Magnoliopsida; Lamiales; Lamiaceae. The record is from RefSeq and is a predicted model, not a curated record.